Long non-coding RNA from Hypanus sabinus (Atlantic stingray), 514 nucleotides. RefSeq lists it as uncharacterized. NCBI's taxonomy places the organism in Eukaryota, Metazoa, Chordata, Chondrichthyes, Myliobatiformes, Dasyatidae. The record is from RefSeq and is a predicted model, not a curated record. The transcript is spliced from 3 exons.
CAGAAGUCACAUAUUGAUGUCAUUUUUGCAGCAGGAAAAUCAAUAUUGUAAUUUAUCACUUCCUAUUUGCAGGGCCUCUUUCCAAUGGCAAAAUUAUUUUGGAAAUCCAUACAACAGUCCAUGAGCUACUAGAGGCUUCUCUCUCAGUAUCCUUAUGAAUCAGGGACAGGGAUACAGAUUUUGGGCCAGAAAGCACUGUGGACAAAGACCAGCGAGGACAAGGGCUGUUGGGCCCGUCCCUGGAGGUCGAUGGGUUCCAGGAUCAGAAGUCCGUGUGGGCAGGUGACCCCCUAGGUAAACGUCACAGGAGCAUCAAAACUAAAACCACAAGGCUACUAAACAGCUUCCUCCCACAGGCAGUCAGACUGCUAAAUAGCUGCUCUACCUGACUGCUUUGGACACUUUUAACUUGCACUGGACACUUAUAAAUUGAUUUUAACCGACAUGUGGCUGUUGUGUUUUACUAUUUAUUGAUAUGUUUAUUAUUUAAUGUUGUGUUUGUUAUGUUAUGAUU